UGGGAGGUCGUCUAACGGCAGGACAGGGGCCUUUGGAGCCCCCGAUGAAGGUUCGACCCCUUCCCUCCCAGCCA
Molecule: transfer RNA, 74 nt
Filed under: Deltaproteobacteria bacterium GWC2_65_14
Lineage: Bacteria; Deltaproteobacteria
Also listed under: 1 other name
Description: tRNA-Gln
Rfam family: tRNA
About the family: Transfer RNA (tRNA) molecules are approximately 80 nucleotides in length. Their secondary structure includes four short double-helical elements and three loops (D, anti-codon, and T loops). Further hydrogen bonds mediate the characteristic L-shaped molecular structure. tRNAs have two regions of fundamental functional importance: the anti-codon, which is responsible for specific mRNA codon recognition, and the 3' end, to which the tRNAs corresponding amino acid is attached (by aminoacyl-tRNA synthetases). tRNAs cope with the degeneracy of the genetic code in two manners: having more than one tRNA (with a specific anti-codon) for a particular amino acid; and 'wobble' base-pairing, i.e. permitting non-standard base-pairing at the 3rd anti-codon position.
Source: RNAcentral